This 386-nucleotide long non-coding RNA is filed under the name Rattus norvegicus (Norway rat). RNAcentral's name for it is "long non-coding RNA NONRATT000019". Lineage: Eukaryota; Metazoa; Chordata; Mammalia; Rodentia; Muridae. The record is from RNAcentral.
CCGGGAGAGACCUGUCCCCCUAGGCUCCGGGUUCGGCCCUGCCCGGGCCUGGGAAGCCACUGGGAGCCGGGCUCCCGGAACGUGGCGCCUCGGGUCACCUGACCGCGCGCCCGGUCAAUCAGCACUAGCCCUAAGCGCCCUCCCAGCCGCAGCCGCCCGCUCCGUGCGGUGCGCGGUGCGGGAAUCCCGGAACCAGUCGUGCAUGCUGGAAGGCAGAAGCUGGAGUAGGCACCAUGCGCACGCACCGUGCCUUUUAUUCAAAUUGUCCGAAAAUGGGUGUCACGCCCCCCUAGGCACACUAGGUGUCUGUUAACCGAGUGCUUUUUUUUUUUUUUCUUUUAGUUUUUAUUUUAAAUAAAUCUCGACCUGCUGGCCAACUCAUCCCA